This 845-nucleotide ribosomal RNA is filed under the name Metopomyza scutellata. RNAcentral describes it as "eukaryotic LSU rRNA". It matches the Rfam family "Eukaryotic large subunit ribosomal RNA", at positions 166 to 864 of the family's 3401-position model. The record is from RNAcentral. Lineage: Eukaryota; Metazoa; Arthropoda; Insecta; Diptera; Agromyzidae.
GAAAAAUUAAUGAUUUAAGUCCUUCUUAAAUGAGGCCAUUUACCCAUAGAGGGUGCCAGGCCCGUAUAACAUUAAUGAUUAUUAGAAGAUAUUUCCAAAGAGUCGUGUUGCUUGAUAGUGCAGCACUAAGUGGGUGGUAAACUCCAUCUAAAACUAAAUAUAACCAUGAGACCGAUAGUAAACAAGUACCGUGAGGGAAAGUUGAAAAGAACUCUGAAUAGAGAGUUAAAUAGUACGUGAAACUGCUUAGAGGUUAAGCCCGAUGAACCUGAAUAUCCAAUAUAGAGAAUUCAUCAUUAAUAUAAUAAUUUUUAUUAUUAUAAUGGUGUGCAUUUUCUUUAUAUAAUGGACAUUGUAAUCUAUUAAUAUUAUUAUUUAUCAUAAGAUCAAUUGCAUAUGUUUAUUUUAAUUAAUUUGCUUUGGCUUUUUAAUAUAAAAUAAUUGCUUUUGAUUUGAUAAAGUAUUGAUAGAUUUAAUCAUAUGUAUAAUGCAUAUUUUCCAUAUGGAAUUUUAUAAUAAUAUUAUAAGCAUUUAUACGAUUUACAAUGCGAAAGAUUCAGGAUACCUUCGGGACCCGUCUUGAAACACGGACCAAGGAGUCUAACAUAUGUGCAAGUUAUUGGGAUAUUAAUAUAAAACCCAAAAGCAUAAUUAACAUAACUAUUUAAUGGGAUUAGUUUUUAAUUCUAUAUGAAUUAAUUAUUCAAUCCCAGGGCGUUCUAUACAGUUAUGUAUAAUGGCAUUUAUGCUAUUUAUACCUCUAACUAGAGCGUACCUUGAGCAUAUAUGCUGUGACCCGAAAGAUGGUGAACUAUACUUGAUCAGGUUGAAGUCAGGGGAAACCC